UACGAAGGGGGCGAGCGUUUAUCCGGAUUUACUGGGCGUAAAGCGCCCGUAGGCGGCCUGACAAGUUGGACGUGAAAGCUCCUGGCUUAACUGGGAGAGGCCGUUCAAAACUGUCAAGCUAGAGUCUGGAAGAGGAGAGCGGAAUUCCCGGUGUAGUGGUGGAAUGCGUAGAGAUCGGGAGGAACACCAGUGGCGAAAGCGGCUCUCUGGUCCAAAACUGACGCUGAGGGGCGAAAGCGUGGGGAGCGAACGGG
Molecule: ribosomal RNA, 254 nt
Filed under: uncultured bacterium
Lineage: Bacteria
Description: partial 16S ribosomal RNA
Rfam family: Bacterial small subunit ribosomal RNA
Source: RNAcentral